Molecule: transfer RNA, 70 nt
Filed under: Proechimys guyannensis (Guyenne spiny-rat)
Lineage: Eukaryota; Metazoa; Chordata; Mammalia; Rodentia; Echimyidae
Description: tRNA-Ala
Rfam family: tRNA
About the family: Transfer RNA (tRNA) molecules are approximately 80 nucleotides in length. Their secondary structure includes four short double-helical elements and three loops (D, anti-codon, and T loops). Further hydrogen bonds mediate the characteristic L-shaped molecular structure. tRNAs have two regions of fundamental functional importance: the anti-codon, which is responsible for specific mRNA codon recognition, and the 3' end, to which the tRNAs corresponding amino acid is attached (by aminoacyl-tRNA synthetases). tRNAs cope with the degeneracy of the genetic code in two manners: having more than one tRNA (with a specific anti-codon) for a particular amino acid; and 'wobble' base-pairing, i.e. permitting non-standard base-pairing at the 3rd anti-codon position.
Source: RNAcentral
AAGGGUUUAGCUUAAUUAAAGUGUUUGUUUUGCAUACAGAUGAUGCAGGUUUAUGAGCUUGCAAUCCUUA